Molecule: long non-coding RNA, 114 nt
Organism: Alosa sapidissima (American shad)
Lineage: Eukaryota; Metazoa; Chordata; Actinopteri; Clupeiformes; Clupeidae
Exons: 3
Source: RefSeq, a predicted model, not a curated record
GUUGGACGCGGGCUGGGUUCGGACAGAAAUAUGUGGCCCGAACCGCACUCUAGUGUGUGUGUGUGAGUGUGUGUAGUGUGUGUGUGUGUGUGUGUGUGUAAUGUGUGUGUGUGU